GACGAACGCUGGCGGCGUGCUUAACACAUGCAAGUCGAACGGAAAGGCCCUGCUUUUGUGGGGUGCUCGAGUGGCGAACGGGUGAGUAACACGUGAGUAACCUGCCCUUGACUUUGGGAUAACUUCAGGAAACUGGGGCUAAUACCGGAUAGGAGCUCCUGCUGCAUGGUGGGGGUUGGAAAGUUUCGGCGGUUGGGGACGGACUCGCGGCUUAUCAGCUUGUUGGUGGGGUAGUGGCUUACCAAGGCUUUGACGGGUAGCCGGCCUGAGAGGGUGACCGGCCACAAUGGGACUGAGGUACGGCCCAGACUGCUACGGGAGGCAGCAGUGGGGAAUAUUGCACAAUGGGCGGAGGCGUGCUGAAGCAACGCCGCGUGCGGGAUGACGGCCUUCGGGUUGUAAACCGCUUUCGCCUGUGACGAAGCGUGAGUGACGGUAAUGGGUAAAGAAGCACCGGCUAACUACGUG
This 468-nucleotide ribosomal RNA is filed under the name uncultured bacterium. Its description in RNAcentral is "partial 16S ribosomal RNA". It matches the Rfam family "Bacterial small subunit ribosomal RNA", at positions 28 to 507 of the family's 1533-position model. The record is from RNAcentral.